Long non-coding RNA from Poeciliopsis prolifica (blackstripe livebearer), 1110 nucleotides. RefSeq lists it as uncharacterized. The transcript has 3 exons. The record is from RefSeq and is a predicted model, not a curated record. NCBI's taxonomy places the organism in Eukaryota, Metazoa, Chordata, Actinopteri, Cyprinodontiformes, Poeciliidae.
AGGAAGUAACAGCUGAAGGUAAGUUCACGUUUCUCCUUUUCUUUUAGACAAAUCAAAAGAGCGAUUAAAGUAUGAUUGAUGUUUUAUUUUGCGUGAUUUUUGUGUUGUUUUCCUUUUCUUUAAGAAUCUUUCAUGUAACCAGUCAAACCAAUUCAGGAAGUCAGGGAAUAUAUAUUGUGUAUUUUAUCUUCUUUAUCAUUUUGACAGCAAGAACGCAGCAUCUGGCUGGACGUAACCAAAACAGAAAGUGAAUUUUUUUAGACAAUUUGUCUCACUCAAAGGUUACUCAAAAAUAAGGUUAGAAAAAACCAAAGAAGCUGUAAAUAUCCUGGGAACAUCUUUACACAGUCAUUGAUGUAACAACUCAGGGUUGUUGAAAGGUGUGAAGGAUUGUAAGAUAAAACUCUAAAGUUAAGAAAGAGUUUCUUUCUAUCUGACUGAAGCUGCUGCUGGAGAUCCACAAACGUCUGAGAUGAUCUACCAGGUUGUGAUCACAGGAUUAGAUGGAAGGAAAAUGACGAUUGACCUCUGUGACAAUGAGGAAGACAUGCAGAGAAUAACGGUGGGAGAGCUGAAGGACAAGAUAAUUGACAAGAUGCCUGGAUUCACAGUGAGUAGAAAAGAGGACCUAAAAUUGAUCUUUGGGAAUAAAAGAUUGGACAACGACACAGACAAGCUGGUUGACUAUGGAAUCCAACACAAGUCCAACAUAAACAUGGUUGAACUUCUUGAAGGUGGAGGAUGUCCUGAAACGGAUCAUACAGGUGAUGGGAUGGGAGACAAAGAGGGUGAAACUCGAAGAAGUAAAGAGGAGCUUAGGUUUAAUUUUUAAAACUCAAAAUACAUUUUUGGGUCCAAAGUGCUUCAUUCCACAUGUUGGAAUAUUUCAAGCAUGAACUAAAAUCACAUCCCUUCUCAUCCUCAUUUAAACUCUUUUAAGCAAACAAAAUAUUUCUCACUUCCUGCCAUGUUGUCUUUGUACUGUAUUUAUAUCAAAACUGUCUAGAAGAUCAGCAGAAAUAUUUUUUUGUUUCUUGUUAUUUUCAUUGAGUCAAACAGAGAAAACAAUUGUGGAGCAACUUUAUUGUGUUUUGUAAAAAUAAACUAAAU